This 362-nucleotide ribosomal RNA is filed under the name uncultured bacterium. RNAcentral describes it as "bacterial SSU rRNA". It matches the Rfam family "Bacterial small subunit ribosomal RNA", at positions 143 to 500 of the family's 1533-position model. The record is from RNAcentral.
AUAGCCCGGCGAAAGCCGGAUUAAUACCGCAUACGACCUGAGGGUGAAAGCGGGGGACCGCAAGGCCUCGCGCUAUUGGAGCGGCCGAUGUCAGAUUAGCUAGUUGGUGGGGUAAAGGCCUACCAAGGCGACGAUCUGUAGCUGGUCUGAGAGGACGACCAGCCACACUGGGACUGAGACACGGCCCAGACUCCUACGGGAGGCAGCAGUGGGGAAUUUUGGACAAUGGGCGCAAGCCUGAUCCAGCCAUGCCGCGUGCAGGAAGAAGGCCUUCGGGUUGUAAACUGCUUUUGUCAGGGAAGAAAUCCNNUGGGUUAAUACCUCGGGGGGAUGACGGUACCUGAAGAAUAAGCACCGGCUAA